Molecule: ribosomal RNA, 511 nt
Filed under: uncultured bacterium
Lineage: Bacteria
Description: partial 16S ribosomal RNA
Rfam family: Bacterial small subunit ribosomal RNA
Source: RNAcentral
GACGAACGCUGGCGGCGUGCCUAAUACAUACAAGUAGAACGCUGAAGGAGGAGCUUACUACUCUGGAUGAGUUGCGAACGGGUGAGUAACGCGUAGGUAACCUGCCCGGUAGCGGGGGAUAACUAUUGGAAACGAUAGCUAAUACCGCAUAAGAGUAGAUGUUGCAUGACAUUUACUUAAAAGGUGCAAUUGCACCACUACCAGAUGGACCUGCGUUGUAUUAGCUAGUUGGUGGGGUAACGGCUUACCAAGGCGACGAUACAUAGCCGACCUGAGAGGGUGAUCGGCCACACUGGGACUGAGACACGGCCCAGACUCCUACGGGAGGCAGCAGUAGGGAAUCUUCGGCAAUGGACGGAAGUCUGACCGAGCAACGCCGCGUGAGUGAAGAAGGUUUUCGGAUCGUAAAGCUCUGUUGUAAGAGAAGAACGAGUGUGAGAGUGGAAAGUUCACACUGUGACGGUAUCUUACCAGAAAGGGACGGCUAACUACGUGCCAGCCGCCGCAGUAA